Molecule: non-coding RNA, 46 nt
Filed under: Trichobilharzia regenti
Lineage: Eukaryota; Metazoa; Platyhelminthes; Trematoda; Strigeidida; Schistosomatidae
Source: RNAcentral
GUACUGCUGAAGAGUCCAAAACCAGGACGAAACAGCUGUCCAGCAC